RNAcentral lists this long non-coding RNA (1131 nucleotides) under Sus scrofa (pig). RNAcentral's name for it is "lncRNA (ENSSSCG00015000483.1)". The record is from RNAcentral. Lineage: Eukaryota; Metazoa; Chordata; Mammalia; Artiodactyla; Suidae.
CUUCUAGAGCUGCACCCGAGGCAUAUGGAAGUUCCCAGGCUAGAGGUUUAAUCAGAGCUGUAGCUGCCAGUCUACACCACAGCCACAGCAACGUGGGAUCCGAGCUGCGUCUGCAACCUACACCGCAGCUCAUGGCAACGACGGAUCCUUAACCCACUGAGCGAGGCCAGGGAUCAAACCCGAAACCUCAUGGGUCCUAGUCGGAUUCGUGAACCACUGAGCCAUGAUGGGAACUCCAAAAAAAACACGUUUGUUUAGGCAAACUUUUAUGGUUUGUAUGAGUCUCCUAUUCUCUGGGUUUUUUUUUUUUUUUUUUUUUGGUCUUUUUAGGGCCACACUCGUGGCAUAUGGAGGUUCCCAGGCUAGGGGUCAAACCAGAGCUAUGGCUGCCAGUCUGCCACAGCCACAGCAACAUGGGAUCCGAGCUGUGUCGAAGAACUACACCAUAGCUCGUGGCAACACCGGAUCCUUAACCCCCUGAGUGAUGUCAGGGAUCGAACCUGUGUCUUCGAGGUUGCUAGUCAGAUUGGUUUCCACUGAGCCAUGAUAGGAACUCAAAGUCUCUGGUUAUGAAUGUUUAAAAAAAAAAAAAAAGUCUUGGGAAGAGACUGACAGUUCAGUAAUCUUUGCCAGCUGGCAUGUUCAAAAUGGAAUCUAAAUAUUGUAUGAACAGUAUCAAUUACAAGCAGGUUCGAUGGGCCUUAAUAAAACACGCUUGAAUUGUGAGAGAAAUUCUCAUUAUUUUGUGUUUCACCCAGCUUUAAUUUACUACAUUGAUUUAACAAAAUCUAUGACAAUCUCAUUUUUUAAAAUCAUGUAAGAUUUCUGAGGUUCACUACAUGGGCAUAACAAUCAUCUGAAAGUAGCAGGCAUAAUGAAAAUUUUGUUGCCCAAUUGUUUUUGAAACUUUUUGUCUUCCAUAUGCACUCGUGGCAUAUGGAAGUUCCGGGGCGAAGGGUUGAAUCAGAGCUGGAGCUGCUGGCUUAUACCACAGCCACAGCCACAGCCACACUGGAUCCGAGCCACACCUGUGACCUACACCGCAGCUGAGGCAACAGUGGAUCCUCAGCCCACUGAGCAAGGGCAGUGAUCAAACGAGGAUGCUCAUGGCCACUAUGUCAUGUUCUUAAC